RNAcentral lists this long non-coding RNA (911 nucleotides) under Citrus sinensis (sweet orange). RNAcentral's name for it is "long non-coding RNA (CSIN_LNC002468)". The record is from RNAcentral. Lineage: Eukaryota; Viridiplantae; Streptophyta; Magnoliopsida; Sapindales; Rutaceae.
GACUUUGAAUAAAGCAUGAUAAUAUUUUAAAGAUAAGAAAAGUGGAUUCAAAUGUGGUAUGAUUUAAAAUAUGGUUAAGAGGUAUGUGAAUAUGAGUAUAAUGAUUGUUUUUGAAAUCAUUAAACAAUACCCUUCCCUCCAGAUACAAUGAUACAUAUGAUAUGAGAUGAGAGACCUUUGGGGCCCGUCUGAACACACAUAGAGGCUUUGGGCCGUGUGUUUGGGCGCUUUUGACUUUUGGGGGCAUAUACAUGCGGUAUGAUGAUUACAGAGAUACAGAUAUGAAAUACAGACAUAUAUUGAAAUACAUAUGAUACAGAUGAGAUACAGGCCUUUGGGGCCCGUCUGAGUACACACAGAGGCUUUGGGCCGUAUGCUUAGGCGCUUUUGUCCCUUGGGGACUAGAUUAUGCAUGCACAGAUAUGAUGAGAUAUGAGAUGGUAUUUCCCUGUCUAUCCGUGUAGCUCCGGGGCGUGGCGGUACCCGGAUAGUACGUCAUUGCCUGUCCGUUGAGGUUCGGAUACGACGAGAUUAUUUCCCUGGGUACUUGUUUGGUGAUGAUUUUCAGAUCUGUGAAUUCUAUAUGAUAUUGUGAUAUGAUUUCCAUGGUUAGUAAUCUGAUUUAAAUGUUUAAUGAUUGAUUACUGGUUUCUCGCUUAUGGUUUAUGAAAUUGUGUUUGGAAAUGAUAUGAUUAUUUCUUUUUAAAGUAAGAAUUAAUUUUCAAAACUACUAUCCACUCAUUGAUCUCACUGAGUUUUAAACUCACCCCGUUUUUAUUAUAUUUUCCCCCCCUUCACCAGGAGGUUGCAGGUACACCAGACCGACCCAGCGACUGUAAAUAUAUUUUGAGUCUUGGCCACGUGAUGGUGUUAGAAGAUAUAAAUGUUUUUGUUAGGACAUCUUGGUUAUC